AUGUUGGGGGAGGCGUUCUCUGUGCUGUCGGCUGAUUUGUUGUCCAGGGCCCCUUGCGUUACAGGAGUGGAGGGUCUCGGCUCCUCUUUGGCCUUCGCGGGUGGAGCAGCUUCUGCCACGGGAGGAGCAGCUGGAGUCUCCUUCUUGGACUCUGGUGCCUUGUGUUUGAACAUUUUUCCAAAAGUGGAUUUCUUCUCAGUUUUCUUCUCCUCUGUUUUUGGCGCUGGAGGUUCUUCAGGUUUGGCUGUGGCCUCAAGAGUGCUGGUCUUAGACGCGUCGACCUGAUGUGUCAGAGGAAGAUCAGAGAAGACUGUUUUAUAUACAGCAAAUGAAAAGAACAGUGAGAGGAUUCAAGAAGAUGGUCAAAUGAUUGUGUGAAAGCUUAUGACUGAAUCAUCAAUAGAGUGACUAAAACAGAUAAGCUUAAUAACUGACUACUGACAACUACAAAAACUCUUUUUUUUCUUUUGGCACAUUCCAACAUUAGUGUACAAAAUAGUACAAAACUAAAAGAAAAGGCAAAAAAUUAAAUACAAUUUUGUUAACUGGGUUGCAUAUAUAUAUAUACACACACACACACACACACACACACACACACACACACACACACACACACACACACACACACACACACACAUAUAUAUAUAUAUAUAUAUAUAUAUAUAUAUGCCCUAAGACUGGCAAGAGUGGCUUCCAAAUCGACUAUACUCCUAUUUUUGGAUCUGCUUUUGACAUGGUUAACCACCAGAUCUUCCUGUCAACUCUAUUGGCAAAGGGCAUCUCGGGAACUGCACUCCAGUAGUUUGAGACUAAUCUCUCAGAUAGGUCCUUCAAGGUAUCUUGGAGAGGUGAGGUGUCCAAGUCGCAACAUCUAACAUCUGGGGUGCCUCAGGGCUCAGUUCUUGGACCACUUCUCUUCUCUGUCUACAUGGCAUCAUAAGGCACAUUCAGAAACAUGGCUUUUCAUAUCACUGCUAUGCAGAUGACACUCAACUCCUCCUCUCAUUCCAUCCUGAUAUCUUUCAUCCGAAGAUAGCUGCUCGCAUCUCCGCUUGUCUAACAGACAUUUCUUGCUGGAUAAAGGACCAUCACCUUCAACUCAGCCUUGUGGUUCCAUCAAACCCAUUGUUUCAUCAGUUUCCCCAUCCAGUUAGACACAUCAACCAUAACUUCUUCAAAAACAGCAAGAAACCUUGGAGUUGUGAUUUAUAAUCAGCUGACUUUCUCAGACCACAUUGCUAAAACUGUCCGGUCCUACAGAUUUGCUUCAUCAAGAAAAUUCUAUUAUUUUUGUAUUCUAUCUAUUUUUCUUUUUAUUUAUUAUACAAUUAACAUAAAGCAAAAAAGGCCUCUAACAGCUUGCUCUGUUCUUUUUCUAUUCUGUCCGUUUUCUUUUGAUUAAUUAUAUAUUAAAAAAAACACUAGCAACCCAGUUAACAAACUUUAAAUAAAUAAAUUUAAAUAAAUUGUUAAAUUGCAUGAAAACCAAUAGGGCAAUUUUUUUUUUUUUUAUAAAAAAUUAUAAUGAUAAUAUUUUUUAAAUAUAUAUAUACACAUAUUUUUAUGGCCAAAAUACAAUAUAUUUCAUUUCAAGCUUUUACCAACCUUUUAACCUUAUACCAAAAUAUAUUUCUUAAUGUUUUACAGGGGCAAGAAAAUAAAUUUCCAGUCUUACAGUAGCCUACAUUUAAUCUAAAUGCAAAUACAGAUGGCCUAUUAGUGAUAAAAAAGAAGACUUAAAGUGAUUUAAUAAUGUUUAAUAUUUUUAUAGAUUGCAAAAUUUGCAUUUUUGGUAGCACUUUAAAUUAUGUCCCUCACUGAUUUUUAUUUAAACAAGUAAUAUGUUUCCAAACAUUAUAGACAACAAAUCAAGUGUUUCUUUAAACGAUAUAUAGAUGGUAAAAUAUAUUUUUAAAUGCUUUCUAAAUAUAUAUUUAUACAAGUAAAAUAUAAAAAAAAAUUGUAGAAAAUAUAUUUACAGAAAUAUACUUGAUAAUCGUUUUUUUUUAUUUAUUUACUUUUAUUUUUUGCUGUAAGGGAAACUAAAUAGAUUAAUUUAUUCAUUUAUUUUUUAUUUUUUAUUUAUUUGUUUGGUUGUUUUUUAUUAAUUAAUUAAUUUAUUUAUUAUUAUUAUUAUUAUUAUUUUAAUCAAAGAUAGGUAACAGGGUUGAAGAUAAGUCUAUUUUUUUAUAUUUUGGGACCAAAUGUUGGUUUAUAGUUACUAAUAUUAUUAUAUGUCCCAUGAACCUAUUUUGGUAACAGGCUUGAAUGGCUGAUUUUGAUGAAUACAACCAAAACUAUAAUUUGUGUAAACAUUGAUUGAAAAUAUUUGUUUCGGUCAAUGUUUGGUCACUUUUAUAUAAUUUAAAAUAUAAAAUAUGUAAGAAAAAAAGAAGAAGAAAAAAAGCACAACUUUAGAUAAAAUCUUCACAUGCUAGUAAUGCAACACUGUAUACCCAUAGAAAGUGCCAAGUACAAAAGUGUAAAUAUGAGAUGAAUGAUUUUAUUUAGGAAGACAGUCCCACCACCGUGCAAAGAAACAAUCGAUCAGCUAAAUGUAUUUACCUGCACCUCAACCGGCUUUUUCUCUUCCACCACAACAGGCUGCAGGCAAGCACAUAUUGGUAUUAAUUUUUACAAUAAUCUACAAUUCCUAUACACCAGCCGUUUAUCCUAGCAGGGACAAACACUGAGUCACUGGUUACACCAAGUCUUACAAGAGCCGCUGGAUAAAUCUGAUGUCAGUUAUGAAGUGGUGGAGUGGAGAGUCACAUGGUUUAGUUUCGGAUGUUGUGACAUGAGGUAAUGGCUGCUGUCAACAUGAUGUCACCAUAAUGGACCUUCACUGAUUCAUUCAUUAUUUACAAUGAGUUUUUUCCACUAAUUGAAUAGCAUAAUGUAUCUUGCCUGUGUGGGAAAACAUUGCAAACACAUCUUCUACCUUUGGAUAUUAUGCAUUAUAACCAGAGCCUAAAAUGAACACUCGCCACAUGCCAAAUGUGAGUAAAAAUCAGCAUUGAAAUAUAUGAAACUGUGUUACACACCGGUUGGCUGGUAACUUUUUUUUAUUAAUUCUUACAAUGUCAGAGAAUGCUACAUGGUUUAAGGUGAUAACUAAAUUGCAAAGACUGUGCUGAACAUAUAGACCCCUUAAUCGGCUCCGUCACUGUGACAUCACCGCUCUAGCUGGAGGCAAAACAUAAGACAGAACUCAUUGCAGGUGCGCUAAAAGUUUGAGGUUUUGACUUUAAAAUGUCUUCUUGUUGGGUUUUUGGCCACCAGAAUAGAAGGAACAGCACUUUUGUUUCAAAAUUAGAGUUUUACCAGAUCCUGGCAGACAUUACUUCACAGAAAUCAAGAACACAAUUGUGGUUAAAUGCAAUACGGCGUACAGACUGGACAGAGAUGAUCAUAAAUAAUGCUCGUGUUUGCAGUGCACACUUCAUAUCAGGUAAUAUAAUCUAUGCAUAUGAACUGGUGUGUUGGUUUUAUCUAGUAAAUCAGCAAGUUUCUGUUUUAUAGGUGAAAAGUCGCCAACCUUCAGCGCACUAGCUAAUUUAAAUGUUAAACAAACAUACAGCGAUAUAUGUGUGUGCCAUCCUUUGAAUGGUCUCUUAAUUAAAAUAAUACACAUUGCUAAUCAUAGUUAGCCCAGCAAUAGGUUACAUUAGAAAAUAAGCCUUGACAAAGUUCCCCAUACCACCCAAGAGUAAUUCAUAUGGCCGUAUGGCAUACGGGUCAGGUAGCCUGCUUCCAUCCGUGAGAGUUAAUAAAAAUAAAAAAUGCUGUCACGGUCCCGCAGAGUCAGGGACUGUACAUAUUCGGACAGUUCCGAACCUUCUUCUGCAUCCAUGUUUAAUAAAUCCCUCCUAAAAUGUGCCAGCUUUACGCUUGUCAACAUUGCGUCCGUGCCUCUUUUUGCCUCCAGCUAAGCCCCGCCCACCCGGAGACGCUGGAAUGUUUACAAACUUUUAAGGGGUUUAUAUAUAAUCUCUAUAAUCUGAUAAAUAAGAACUUCUUUCACAGUUUUCAGUAAAUGCUGCUCCACCUGAACUGUGAGCUGGAGUUGCAUAAUUAAUGCAACAUGCGCCAAUCAUCACUUAUACCAUUAUUAUGUAGUGGUUUUAGAAACUUUUCAAUUCAACCGCAUUACAGUAAUAUUUUUUUUAUUGAUUUAUUUACUUUUUUAAAUUUGAUUAACUACUAUUACUACUACUACUACUACUACUAAUUAUUAUUUUUUAUUACUAUUAUUAUGAAAUUAAUUAUACAAAUUAAAUAAAUGUUGAAAUAAAUAAACACUAUUAUUAUGAAAUACUCAAUAAAAUUAUAGUGAUAUUUAUUGAUUGAUUUGUUAACUUUUUAUAAAUGGAUUAAAUAUAAUAAUAAUUAUAAUAAUUAUCAUAUACAAUCAGAUUACCAUUAAAUAUUUCAC
Molecule: long non-coding RNA, 4435 nt
Organism: Carassius auratus (goldfish)
Lineage: Eukaryota; Metazoa; Chordata; Actinopteri; Cypriniformes; Cyprinidae
Source: Ensembl